UGCGGACUCCUACGGGAGGCAGCAGUGGGGAAUAUUGGACAAUGGACCAAAAGUCUGAUCCAGCAAUUCUGUGUGCACGAUGACGUUUUUCGGAAUGUAAAGUGCUUUCAGUUGGGAAGAAAAAAAUGGCGGUACCAACAGAAGAAGUGACGGCUAAAUACGUGCCAGCAGCCGCGGUAAUACGUAUGUCACAAGCGUUAUCCGGAUUUAUUGGGCGUAAAGCGCGUCGUGGUGGUUAUGUAAGUCUGAUGUGAAAAUGCAGGGCUCAACUCUGUAUUGCGUUGGAAACUGCAUGACUAGAGUACUGGAGAGGUAAGCGGAACUACAAGUGUAGAGGUGAAAUUCGUAGAGAUUUGUAGGGAUGCCGAUGGGGAAGCCAGCUUACUGGACAGAUACUGACGCUAAAGCGCGAAAGCGUGGGUAGCAAACAGGAUUAGAUACCCCUGUAGUCCUAUC
This 456-nucleotide ribosomal RNA is filed under the name uncultured bacterium. RNAcentral describes it as "bacterial SSU rRNA". It matches the Rfam family "Bacterial small subunit ribosomal RNA", at positions 330 to 800 of the family's 1533-position model. The record is from RNAcentral.